UACGAAGGGGGCUAGCGUUGUUCGGAUUUACUGGGCGUAAAGCGCACGCAGGCGGCUUAACAAGUUGGAGGUGAAAUCCCAGGGCUUAACCCUGGAACUGCCUUCAAAACUGUUAGGCUAGAGUUCGAGAGAGGAUGGUGGAAUUCCUAGUGUAGAGGUGAAAUUCGUAGAUAUUAGGAGGAACACCAGUGGCGAAGGCGGCCAUCUGGCUCGAUACUGACGCUCAUGUGCGAAAGCGUGGGGAGCAAACAGGAUUAGAUACCCUGGUAGUCCACGCUGUAAACGAUGAGUGCUAGUUGUUGGAACCUUUAGGUUUCAGUGACGCAGCUAACGCGUUAAGCACUCCGCCUGGGGAGUACGGUCGCAAGAUUAAA
Molecule: ribosomal RNA, 374 nt
Filed under: uncultured bacterium
Lineage: Bacteria
Description: bacterial SSU rRNA
Rfam family: Bacterial small subunit ribosomal RNA
Source: RNAcentral